This 139-nucleotide ribosomal RNA is filed under the name Cronobacter turicensis 564. RNAcentral's name for it is "Small Subunit Ribosomal RNA; ssuRNA; SSU rRNA". It matches the Rfam family "Bacterial small subunit ribosomal RNA", at positions 1157 to 1295 of the family's 1533-position model. The record is from RNAcentral. Lineage: Bacteria; Pseudomonadati; Pseudomonadota; Gammaproteobacteria; Enterobacterales; Enterobacteriaceae.
GAUAAACCGGAGGAAGGUGGGGAUGACGUCAAGUCAUCAUGGCCCUUACGACCAGGGCUACACACGUGCUACAAUGGCGCAUACAAAGAGAAGCGAACUCGCGAGAGCAAGCGGACCUCAUAAAGUGCGUCGUAGUCCG